Schizosaccharomyces pombe (fission yeast) is the source of this 470-nucleotide non-coding RNA. NCBI's taxonomy places the organism in Eukaryota, Fungi, Ascomycota, Schizosaccharomycetes, Schizosaccharomycetales, Schizosaccharomycetaceae. The record is from the annotation of a GenBank genome assembly.
AAAUAACACAAAAAAGAUCCAAAUUUGUGAAGCUCAACAGAUCCCAAGCACUUCUAUAUUUCCCGUCAUUAGGAAUCGGCAUUCCUAGCUUUGACCAUUGCUGAGGACUUAAAAUGAACUCCUUGGCGAUUUUAUUGGAAAAAUCUAACAAAGAUUUAGUUCUUUGAAAGCUUUCCCAAUGAGUUUGGUCGUCCAAUAAACCUAUACUUUGAGCUAAUGGAGUCAAUCUUAAAUCAGCAUUAUCAGCACGUGUAGUUAACCUAUACUCGCUUCUCGAAGUGAACACCCUAUAAGGUUCUUUCACACCUUUUGUAAUAAGAUCAUCGACCAUUACUCCAAGCAAAGCUGUAUUUCUCGGUAUGUCUACUGGCUCACGACCAAGAGCACUUAAACCUGCAUUUAAGCCAGCUAAGAUACCUUGCGCUGCUGCUUCUUCAUAACCCGUCGUUCCAUUUAUUUGACCGGCCAAG